Molecule: ribosomal RNA, 408 nt
Filed under: uncultured bacterium
Lineage: Bacteria
Description: partial 16S ribosomal RNA
Rfam family: Bacterial small subunit ribosomal RNA
Source: RNAcentral
GACGAACGCUGGCGGCGUGCUUAACACAUGCAAGUCGAACGAAGUGGCGAACGGGUGAGUAACGCGUAAUCAACCUGCCCUUCAGAGGGGGACAACAGUUGGAAACGACUGCUAAUACCGCAUACUGUAGGAGGGGAUUGCGUUUGAUUUGCUCGUUGGAGGGGUAACGGCCCACCAAGGCGAUGAUCAGUAGGCGGUCUGGGAGGAUGGACGGCCACAUUGGGACUGGGACAACGGCCAGAAUCCUACGGGAGGCAGCAGGGGGGAAAUUUCCGCAAUGGACGAAAGUCUGACGGAGCAACGCCGCGUGAGUGAUGACGGCCUUCGGGUUGGAAAGCUCUGUUAAGCGGGACGCGGUACCGGAAUAGAAAGCCACGGCUAACUACGUGCCAGCCGCCGCGGUAAUUC